This 69-nucleotide transfer RNA is filed under the name Anodontites trapesialis. RNAcentral describes it as "tRNA-Asn". Lineage: Eukaryota; Metazoa; Mollusca; Bivalvia; Unionida; Mycetopodidae. The record is from RNAcentral.
AGAGACAGAAGCUAUAAACCAGCAGUUAACUGUUACUUAACCCACAGUGAAAUAAUUUCACCUUCUCUA